UACGACUACAUAUCAGGCAUAUCAAUAAGCGGAGGAAAAGAAACUAACAAGGAUUCCCUUAGUAACGGCGAGUGAAGCGGGAAGAGCUCAAAUUUGAAAUCUUCAAGGUUCUACCUUGACGAAUUGUAGUUUAAAGAAGUGUUUUCUGUUAGAGGAGUAGCAAAAGUUCCUGGGAAUGGGACAUCAUAGAGGGUGAGAAUCCCGUAUUUGGUUAUUCUUUCUAGCUUUGUGAUACACUUUCAAAGAGUCGGAUUGUUUGGGAAUGCAGUCCAAAAUGGGUGGUAAAUUUCAUCUAAAGCUAAAUAUUGGCGAGAGACCGAUAGCGAACAAGUACCGUGAGGGAAAGAUGAAAAGAACUUUGAAAAGAGAGUUAAACAGUACGUGAAAUUGUCAAAAGGGAAGCGUUUGACACCAGUGUUGUUUUUCCGAAAAUCAAUUAAGAAGGGCUUGAUUUUGUGUUGUAUUGACCUUAUCAGCUUUCUUCACUCUUUUUCGAGUCUUUCUUAAUGCACUUUUCGGUUAACAAGUCAACAUCAAUUUCUUUUGUUGUAAAAGGGUAUUUGGAAGGUGGCUUUCUUUUCGGAGAAAGUGUUUAUAGCCUUAUACCUCUACAAUCGGAGAGAUUGAGGUCUGCAGCGUAGAUCCUUCGGGGCUAGAUACACUUGUGCUAAGUUAUAGCUUUUCAUAGACAACUUGUUGACUAUGUUUAGUCAUGUAGCUUACCCGCUUGUGCUAUUUUACCUACGCUUAGGAUGUUGAUCUACAGAGCGAGAGU
RNAcentral lists this ribosomal RNA (775 nucleotides) under uncultured Neocallimastigales. RNAcentral's name for it is "partial large subunit ribosomal RNA". It matches the Rfam family "Eukaryotic large subunit ribosomal RNA", at positions 24 to 640 of the family's 3401-position model. The record is from RNAcentral. Lineage: Eukaryota; Fungi; Neocallimastigomycota; Neocallimastigomycetes; Neocallimastigales.